CCUACGGGUGGCUGCAGUGGGGAAUCUUGCACAAUGGGCGAAAGCCUGAUGCAGCAAUGCCGCGUGAGUGAUGAAGGCCUUCGGGUUGUAAAUCUCUGUCGGCUGGGACAAACGGAUCUAUGGCUAAUAUCCAUAGGUAGUGAUGGUACCAGCAAAGGAAGAGGCGGCUAACUCUGUGCCAGCAGCCGCGGUAAUACAGAGGCCUCGAGCGUUGUUCGGAAUUACUGGGCGUAAAGGGAAUGUAGGUGGUCACGUAAGUCAGAUGUGAAAGCCCU
Molecule: ribosomal RNA, 275 nt
Filed under: uncultured bacterium
Lineage: Bacteria
Description: partial 16S ribosomal RNA
Rfam family: Bacterial small subunit ribosomal RNA
Source: RNAcentral